GCCAUCCUUUUCUUGGGGUUGUGCUACUGCCCAACGAGCGCAUAGUGUGGGCUGCACUGCUGAUGCCUCAACAACACGCUUGCACCAGCUGGAGCUCUGCUUUACUUUGGUGCAAUUUUGGAGUU
Small nuclear RNA from Pteronotus mesoamericanus, 125 nucleotides. RefSeq annotates it as U4atac minor spliceosomal RNA. Lineage: Eukaryota; Metazoa; Chordata; Mammalia; Chiroptera; Mormoopidae. The transcript has a single exon. The record is from RefSeq and is a predicted model, not a curated record.